GAACUAAUGACAGUAACUUCACAUCACUAUCUCCUUUCUGCAGCUGAUUGGUAGAUCUGUCUGCUCACAUGGCGCCGCUCUGCUGCAUCUGGACAGCGAUGCGAUCGCCUUGAGACGAGUUCCUGCAUUUGCCGAGUUGUACACAACACAAUGUUAAAUUGUAAUCACUGAGCUCAACAAACCAGCGAGGCGGAAGCCAGAACUUUGCCUGAAGUUGGAGAAAAACGUUUCUUUGGGCCGGUUCAUUUAAUAACGUUCACAUAAUUAAAAAGAAUCGUGAUGAUUUUGAAAGCUAGUUAAUGCUAACGAUGCACCGCUGCAUCACUCAGCUAACAUCAAGAAUCUGAAAGCUGUUCCCCGAUCUACCGGAUCCAAGUCCCGUCCUCGCCACAGUUAGCACUACACGUGCCACAUUGACUUUUUUUACUGCAUUUUAAAGACUACAUUUGUUUAUUUUUAUAUUUCAACCAGGACAGACUCCGAAGUGACAAACAUUGCACAUGUAUAAUAUUGAAAUGUGCAGAAUCUUUGGCGAUUGGACUCCAUCCUAAACCGGGAGAAUCAACGGGCCGUGAUGCCGAGUUCUGCUUGACAGAACCUCCAACCGCUGAACCGCUGAACCGCUGGAGGUGCCUGAUGGGUGGAGGAGGGUCGCAUCCGGCUUCGCACUGAAAUGACCCCCGGCAGCGACACAGAGAGAACCCCUUAAAAAAGGUUUGACAGCAACUGUGUGAUUGGUUAAGAGCCACGGCGCCGCCUCUGUUUGUCGCUUGCACCUGGCGCAGCCAAUCUCCGCUGAUUGGAUAAUUCUGGGAGACCAGCUGAAGCAUCUCUACGUCACGUGUGGCAUGACGGGAGUCUUCCUUCUGGAACUACCGCUUACGCUCCAUUUGUCUGGAUCCCAAAGCGUGAAACAGAAGGCCGUGAUGAACCAACGGUUUCCAAUGCAGAUGUGCAAAUACGUUCUCCUAUCGAGACUACAAGAGCCCAGGAAGAAAUGUAGCUGAUAGUCCCUGUGUGUCUACGGAGGAAAGUUUCACAAUCAACCAGACCUGCUCGCUGCCUUCCAGAGUGACUUGACUCAUUUAUGUUUUAGAGAGAUUACCAGCAGGAAAACGCUCGAAAGACGGCAAAUAUUUACUUCGUUAAUGAAAAAGGCCCAGACAGAAUUACUUUGGCCAAUUGAAAAUUGGAAUUUGUGGGCAAGGUGUCUGCACAAAACACGAUAAGCUCUCCUCUAUGUGCAACAAAGCGCGUUGCUAUGGAGAAGAGAUGCAAUAUUUGCCGCCUUCCAUCAAAGAAGACUUUCCGUGUGCUAACGUCCGACCGCAUGCAGCUGUAACCUUUCACAUCUGCCUAAAAGUCCUAAAAAUACAUGGUUAAUGUUCCUAAAAGAAAACAAGAGAACAGAGAAUCCUUUUUAGUUCCAGCGCGACACUGAAAUCCGAAUUAUAGUUUAUAAAAAUAUAAACGUUUAAACGGUAAUGGAGGCAGACUGCGGCUGCACUUCAGUGAACAGUCGGCAGUUGUUUUGCAUACGGGGGGGCAGAUGGGGGGGCACAGGGAAUAAAGCCUUUCAUUGAAUAAGUCCAUCAUGCUUUAAGAACAUGAGCAUGCACACGAAAAGGUACCGUGGAUGUUUUUUUUCUCAUUUGAAAUCUUUUAUUAUGGAGACAUUUUCCCUGAGGGACGCUACUCGGCACACGUGGGGAGACUGAGGGAAAAUGAAAAGUGUAAAAUCCUACUGGAGCUUUUUUUUUCCCCCUCAUGUGAUACGAAUAAGUAAAGGAGACGCGCGUCCUUGUGAUUUAGGGGUCGGGGAGAAAGUACCGAGGGAGGUCAGCGGCGUGUUUCAGCCAGACUGAAAUCCGUAGCGGCGCUCAGCGGAGGAAAGGCGUGGCUCCACGCGUAGCCCUUCUGCUAUUGGCCUAUUUUUUUUAAACCGUUCACAAUCGUCUCAGGUUGAGCACAGGCUGCAGCGGCGGAGCACCAGGGCCAAACGGUUUUUGCUUAGAAAAUAAUGGGAACGGUGUUAUUUCUACUGUGUAAAUUCUAUAGAUCAAUAAACUGUUUAGGCUUCUAUAGUAGAAUUUAAUUCCAGAUUUAUGACGUGUGACGUGCGUUGACUGCAGCGCAUUUCUCCCUUUUUCUUCUCGGCAUUAAGGACUAUUUCAUAUUUUGUUCCUGCAGAUGGAUCCGCCUCACUUUCAUUCUUUAGAAACUCGCUUGCCUCCAUCUUGGUCCGUCCUUUGUUGUCCUGUCGCAAACAUUUGCCGUAAUUGUUUUUGAUUUCGAUAUUUUCUAAUUAAAUUCAGCAACUCCGUCCGAAAAAGACAUUUUGAUUAUAUGCCAGCGGCCUGAAUAAUUCAAGGUCUUCAAACCGAAAUGGGUUCUCCGACCGACUCCGCAACCUGUAUUAUUUAAAUAUAUCUCAAGAGAAUAAAAGAAAGAAUAGCCCCAAAAAAUUGAAUUGAGAAUAAUAGAGCAACAAUAAUGUUCAGCAGCCUGAUAAUGUUUCUCCCGCUGUGAGUAAAAUAAAAUUAGAUCUUUUCAUAUCCCGGCUCAACGAAUUUUUUUUCUAAACCUUAAAGUUGGAGUAAAAAAUAACAUGUUUUUCUUGGAUGUUUGCGGCUCAUUACACUUAAGCCCGAGGACAGUAAUCUAUGAGAUUACAAAUAAGUGGGCCCCAGUGCUGCAAGGCAGGAUCUGUGCCUUUCUUGCGUGGGGAGAGGGAAUUUGGCAGCACUGCUGUCGAGCCCGUGGAUCAAAGUCCUUUUCCCGCUGCGGUGGCUCAUCACAACACAGAAGGAGAAAGCGGGAGGGAGGGAGGGAGAGGGAGAGGGAGAUAAAGGGAGACAGAGAUCUUGGAGGAAGAGAGCUUACGCCACUCACGGUUGGCUUACUCUCUGCAUGCUCGCUUCGCAUUUUACAUCCAAAACCCGCACCGAGCGUCCCCCAGCGAAGCACGGGAGUCAGCGGGGGAGAGUGGACGUCAGCAUCAGCGCCUUCAAAUGGAUCCUAACGGGGAGUCCAUACUUUUAUAAGAUUGGUCCGGAAAUUAGAGAGUAGCGUGUCCAUUAGUCGAUGUUUGUUCCUUUCGCAGAGAGACGGGGGAUUUUGAAGAAUUGUCAUGGAAACGGUCAUUUACUAGAAUAAACAUGGUUCCUCUUCUCUCAAAAGGGGGCCGCGGCCGCUCUGCUCUCCCUGGAUCUGGUGUUCACCGCCUCUUGUAACCGAGCAGUGUCGUGGAAGCGCCGCGCCGGCCUGCAGGCGUUCUCCGCGUGACUUGACAUCUGCGGACAUUAGAAUAAUGCCACGAAUAAUACAGACUAAUGAAGGCAAAAACAGAACAUCAAUUAAACGGGGGCCUCGGGAUUGGGACCGUGGAGAGUCCCCGAUUGGAGCUGCAGGGACGUGGUCAACCACACUGGCGUGCACGCAGCCGUGCCUGCUGAGGUCUGUUCAGCCAUGAGUUCUUAAUCGACGGCAGAGGAGAAAAGGGAGGCUUUGUUACAUAUUGCAACAGAUUCUACAUGUUUAAUCCCUCUGAAACAACAAUCCAGGGGCAAUUUAGAUCCUUUCUAAAAAAAAUAACUAACGACCUUAAAGUAUUGCAGGAUUUAUGUGUUUGCCGUCUUACGAACAGGGUGUCCUUUCUCUAUUUUCUUUACCCACAAUGAUGGAAAUAUGAGGAGAAUUCUGUAAAGUCCUUCAUCAAAAUUAAAACGCUGCGCACAAUUCCAAUGUUUUCACUCAAAUAAACCUCGUGCACGAACAAAAUGCUCAAAUGUCUCCAUUUAGAGUGUUAUCUGCAGUGUGUGGCACAGUUGGGGAGAAGUCGUCCCCCCCCCCUCUGUCUCCCUCGGCAUUCAUUAUUAAUCAGAGAAUCUUCUUUUUGGUUUCAUGAUCGCUUUGAUAAUCAAGGUUGUUGAUGGGAGAGCACACAUUCAAAAUUGAUAAUUUGAGCAUGGACUACUAAGGGGACAAAAGUGUUAAUUAAUUAAGUGCGUGGACAGAAAGUGCUCCUGCGGUGCUCGGAAAGACUGGAGCCACUUGAGAAUUUGACACAGACCCCCCCCAGAAGCAUGGGUCAUAAUGGAUUUUCAGCAAGCACCACCAAUAAGCUUUCGUGCUUUUGUCCCUUAUUUUUGUUGUCACCAAGAAACACGUGUUACGGGAUUCAAAAUGUCAAUCAGCAAGGAAUGCAAAAGAACAUUUAGAGACGAAAC
Long non-coding RNA from Gasterosteus aculeatus aculeatus (three-spined stickleback), 4229 nucleotides. Lineage: Eukaryota; Metazoa; Chordata; Actinopteri; Perciformes; Gasterosteidae. The record is from Ensembl.